This 61-nucleotide microRNA precursor is filed under the name Eptatretus burgeri (inshore hagfish). Lineage: Eukaryota; Metazoa; Chordata; Myxini; Myxiniformes; Myxinidae. The record is from RNAcentral.
AGCUGGUGUUGUGAAUCAGGCCGUAAGUACUACCUCUCGGCCUUUUCACAGCACCAGGUGU